GAUGAACGCUGGCGGCGUGCCUAAUACAUGCAAGUCGAGCGAACGGACGAGAAGCUUGCCUCUCUGAUGUUAGCGGCGGACGGGUGAGUAACACGUGGAUAACCUACCUAUAAGACUGGGAUAACUUCGGGAAACCGGAGCUAAUACCGGAUAAUAUUUUGAACCGCAUGGUUCAAAAGUGAAAGACGGUCUUGCUGUCACUUAUAGAUGGAUCCGCGCUGCAUUAGCUAGUUGGUAAGGUAACGGCUUACCAAGGCAACGAUGCAUAGCCGACCUGAGAGGGUGAUCGGCCACACUGGAACUGAGACACGGUCCAGACUCCUACGGGAGGCAGCAGUAGGGAAUCUUCCGCAAAGGGCGAAAGCCUGACGGAGCAACGCCGCGUGAGUGAUGAAGGUCUUCGGAUCGUAAAACUCUGUUAUUAGGGAAGAACAUAUGUGUAAGUAACUGUGCACAUCUUGACGGUACCUAAUCAGAAAGCCACGGCUAACUACGUG
RNAcentral lists this ribosomal RNA (497 nucleotides) under uncultured bacterium. RNAcentral's name for it is "partial 16S ribosomal RNA". It matches the Rfam family "Bacterial small subunit ribosomal RNA", at positions 28 to 507 of the family's 1533-position model. The record is from RNAcentral.